Molecule: unclassified non-coding RNA, 300 nt
Filed under: uncultured Chaetomiaceae
Lineage: Eukaryota; Fungi; Ascomycota; Sordariomycetes; Sordariales
Description: sequence contains 5.8S rRNA gene, ITS2
Rfam family: 5.8S ribosomal RNA (bases 1-85)
Source: RNAcentral
GGUAUAAGAGACAGGUGAAUCAUCGAAUCUUUGAACGCACAUUGCGCCCGCCAGUAUUCUGGCGGGCAUGCCUGUUCGAGCGUCAUUUCAACCAUCAAGCCCCCGGCUUGUGUUGGGGACCUGCGGCUGCCGCAGGCCCUGAAAACCAGUGGCGGGCUCGCUAGUCACUCCGAGCGUAGUAGUUUACAUCUCGCUCAGGGCGUGCUGCGGGUUCCGGCCGUUAAAAGCCUUCAUAACCCAAGGUUGACCUCGGAUCAGGUAGGAAGACCCGCUGAACUUAAGCAUAUCAAUAAGCGGAGG